This 75-nucleotide antisense RNA is filed under the name Actinoalloteichus sp. GBA129-24. RNAcentral describes it as "ASpks TB sRNA". It matches the Rfam family "ASpks TB sRNA". The record is from RNAcentral. Lineage: Bacteria; Bacillati; Actinomycetota; Actinomycetes; Pseudonocardiales; Pseudonocardiaceae.
CUUCACCGACCCGAUCCACAGCGGCCGGUCCGCGACCCGGUCCCUGCCGUAGGUGGCCAGCAGCGCCUGCGCCUC